GAUGAACUGUUGGAAAAUUUUCCCUAGAAAAUGAAUAAUGAAUAGAUUUUAUUAAUAAUACCUGUCCAUGUAAUAUGUGGAAUAUAUAUAUGUAUGUGUGUGUAUAUUAUAUAUACACAUCUUCCUAUUAUUGCCCCCAGUUUCUCUUUUCCUGAUUCUGAGCCAGCCUUUUCAUUUUUAUGAUGGCAACCUGAGAAUAUGUUCCAUUUUCUGUGAACUUUGUCAGAUUCAUACUAUAUGAGGAAAUGAUCUAAUGUGCUCCAGGCAAGUCACUUACAUUACAUGUCAGUCUCUUCAUCUGUAAAAUCAUGAGAUUUAACCUAGAGCUGGACAGAAAAUUAGAGGUCACCUGACAUUCUGUGAUACUAGGAAUCCUUAGAAAGUUUUUACUCUACAAAAUCUCAGAAAUGAUUUUUCUCAAAUCUACUACCCUUUGUGGAAAUUCUCGCAGUGCCUUGCACACAAUAAAAGUUUGAUUUGCCAACAGGCACCUAGCUGGUAUGUGUUCAUAUCAUACAGACUCAAAGAACCUGAUGCCUGUGAGAUCUCAGCACCUCCCUGCUGAUAAGAAUGAUUGUAGUUUCUCUAGAAACUGAGGACUGAGGUCUGUGGGCUUUACCUAUGUGGAAUCUGACUAUAUAUGCCGUUGGUACCUGAGCAAGAAUUACGGCUGCAACAGAUGUGGAGGUAUGGUAAGACCCACCUUGACAUUGAUGUGAAAAAGAAUUUUAUAUCCCAUCCAAUAUCUGCUUCAGUGUCUUAAUUAUUUCCAUAUCCUCAAAAACAUCUGUUGGAACAAAUUAGUAAUAUUAGAAAGGAAAGUAGUAUAGAAGUCAAACCCAAGUCACUUCUGGUUUAAUUCUUAGCUCUGCUGCUUAAUUCCUCUAUACCUCAUGUCCUCAUGGUGGAAGUGGGGACAAUAAUCUGGACCUACCUCACAGGGGAAUUGAGGAUUUUUUCAUAUAUAAAUGUGCUUUUGAAAUUGACUGAAGGAUAUAUUGCAUAUCAUAAUUUUGUAACUUCUAAAUAGAGUCCUUUAAAUCUAUGUUGUUAUGUUUUCUUUCUCAGUCAAACCUUACAGAAAGAGUAUUGCAAUUAAUCUAGUUUUGGUAGUAAUUUUGUUACUAAUCCCUUAUGUGUUAAUAUGGAUAAUUGUGUUAUAAUUGUGUUAUAUUGUGUUAUAAUACUUGAUUGAGAGAGGAAAAGCACGUGGAUAUAAACCAAUGGUUCUCAACUUGGGGCAGAUGAAAAUAGCAGUGGGGUCAUCCUGAACCUUUUUCAGCAUUUUAAAAAGUAUACUAGAAAUCAUGCAUUUACCCAUAACAUUUCUACUGCACAAGCCAACUAAGACAGAAUUUUUACACAUUUUGCUUAUAUUUCUUCAAUUCUAAUACUGGUUAUCUAUAUUGAUCAGAAACUGUGAAUGGUGGUUAGGCUUUUAAUUAUUUUUUUAAAUGAGAAAGCCUAUUGUAAUAUGCAGUUUAAUAAAUACUUGAAAAUAUGGGGAAGGAAUAAUAAAGGAAUCCUCAUGGCAGAAAUGUUAGGAGCCACUUUCAUAAAGGAACCGAAAUUAUUUGACCUCCACAGGUUGCUUACCUAGUCCCUAAAUAAUGAAAUGCUAAAGUAUGUGUGUGUGUUUUAGCUAGACUGGGCUAUAUAACUUCAGGUUAGAAUUUGCCUUCAGUUUUUUUUUUUGUUUCAAGAUGAUAUAAUUGAGCUAAUUUAUCUGGGUAUAUAUGUGUAAAUCAUUCAUAUACACACAUACAGGAUUACAAGUGUGGAAAGUGUUAUAAUGUUGUCUUCUAGCAUUGGAGUAAACACCAAUAUCUGAGUCUCAAAGUAGUUCUGUGUAUAAAGUCAACAUGAAGUCAAUUAUUGCUUUAAGCAAUAAUUUCUCAAAUGUUUCUUUUAUUCCUGCUUAUUUUGUUUGCUAUGAUCUUUAAUUUUUUAAUUUUUCAUUUUAUAGUAAGCAAAUAGUAUAAAAUUGAUUUAAUGCCUGGACUUUGAAACCAGUUACCUAUGUUUGAAAUUAUAUGAUCUACAAGCUAGUUUGCCAUCCUUGAACUAACCAUGUACAAAUGUAAGUCAGCUGCAAAAAUAGGAAAUCCUGCUAGAAGGUGGGCACUGAUCAAAAUAUUUGUCUGAAAAACCUAGGAUUUCUACUUUGGGGCAGAGGAUUCCUGUUGAGACAGUUUUACCAGAAAAGGGUAAAAGUGAAUAUGUCCAUUUAAGCCAAGAACUUUCAUGCAUAUUGUAUUGUUAUAUAGCCUGUGGAAUGAAUCAUUUUUUUCUCCCUUGAGUUCCGGAGUGACUCUCCUGGAAAAACUCAACCUAUAUACCUGUGCCAAAAGGAAGGAUACCUACCUCUCUGAAACUUUCACUGCUGCUUCUGUUGUUGUUCAAUUGUCAGAUAUUAAAUUUUAUUCUCUCAGGAUGCAAAAUUACAAUAAAGUGCAAAUCUCUGUUAAUGAAUUGUGUAUUCUUUGGUGCAUCUUCCUUCUUCCAUCCCUGCUUUCAUCAUUAUAAGGUAACUAAGGAUUCCUUUUAAAAUGUUUGUCUUGCAUAUUGCCCCCUCCCACAUUUGCUAGUGUUAUGUCUAAUACUGUAAUUCACGCUCUCUGUUGGUUUUGUGGGCCUUUGUUGUGCCCAGGGUUUGGCAUUUGACUAAGUAGGAAUUUGUUUCUAAACAACUUUGCAUUCACCUUGUAUGCCUACUUAUGAAUUAUAAAAAUAAAGUACAAGUGGAUUUCCACCGUACUAAGCAUAAUGUUUUAAUACAAGAAAUGUUGAAAUGUGAAGCUAUUUGGCAAAAGUUUUGACUCUUGUCAGCAGACUAUAUGACAC
Long non-coding RNA from Bos taurus (domestic cattle), 2844 nucleotides. Lineage: Eukaryota; Metazoa; Chordata; Mammalia; Artiodactyla; Bovidae. The record is from Ensembl.